CCUGUUCUGGGUCGAUCAUGAUAAUGAUGCUUUUUCUUUUUCGUCUUAGAAAUGCCAACUGUUUUCACAUCUAGUGGCUGUCCCUUCAACCUCAGCUUCCCGCCAACAACGUUUUCAUAUGCCGACAUCUCACCGUCGACCACCGAAAAAUAGUCAAAGUCACCUGGAAUUUUCUUUUCUCCCCUUGGUUGUGGUAGGUUCGAGAACCGAC
Molecule: unclassified non-coding RNA, 211 nt
Filed under: Hevea brasiliensis (rubber tree)
Lineage: Eukaryota; Viridiplantae; Streptophyta; Magnoliopsida; Malpighiales; Euphorbiaceae
Source: RNAcentral